RNAcentral lists this ribosomal RNA (299 nucleotides) under uncultured bacterium. Its description in RNAcentral is "partial 16S ribosomal RNA". It matches the Rfam family "Bacterial small subunit ribosomal RNA", at positions 337 to 652 of the family's 1533-position model. The record is from RNAcentral.
GCCUACGGGACGCAGCAGUGGGGAAUAUUGCACAAUGGGGGAAACCCUGAUGCAGCAACGCCGCGUGAGUGAAGAAGGUUUUCGGAUUGUAAAGCUCUGUUAGCAGGGAAGAGGAAGGACGGUACCUGCAGAGGAAGCCACGGCUAACUACGUGCCAGCAGCCGCGGUAAUACGUAGGUGGCAAGCGUUGUUCGGAAUAACUGGGUGUAAAGGGAGCGUAGGCGGGAAGCCAAGUCAGCUGUGAAAACUACGGGCUUAACCUGUAGACUGCAGUUGAAACUGGCUUUCUUGAGUGAAGU